Molecule: ribosomal RNA, 346 nt
Filed under: uncultured bacterium
Lineage: Bacteria
Description: partial 16S ribosomal RNA
Rfam family: Bacterial small subunit ribosomal RNA
Source: RNAcentral
CCUACGGGAGGCAGCAGUGAGGAAUAUUGGUCAAUGGCCGGAAGGCUGAACCAGCCAUGCCGCGUGAAGGGCAGGGCCCUAUGGGCGUUAAACUUCUUUUGUGCGGGAGCAAUAAUGGUCACGUGUGGCCAGACGAGAGUACCGUACGAAUAAGCAGCGGCUAACUCCGGGCCAGCAGCCGCGGUAAUCCGGGGGAUGCAAGCGUUAUCCGGAUUUAUUGGGUUUAAAGGGUGCGUCGGCUGGGAGGUAAGUCAGCGGUGAAAUGCCCCCGCUCAACGGGGUGAAGUGCCAUUGAUACUGCCUUGCUGGACUGCGGAUGCCGUGGGAGGAAUGUGUGUUGUAGCGG